AGCCAUUUUUUACAAGUAAAAUGUGAAAUUUUGGUCCAAAUGUGUAUAGCAAUUGUGAAAAUAUUCUCUGACACCCAUCAUUUCCCUAAGAAAAUUAACUUGGACUAAUAUUUGAGGGUAAACACCAAUUACCAUGGAAAAUGCUUAGUGGAAAGGUUCCUUUUGUCUGGAUUCCUCCUGAGUCUGCAUUCUGGGUGCAGAGGCAGGAGAUGUGUUGAAAUUAGGAAGUAUAUAUAACCCAUUUCACCAUGAAAAUCAUGGGAUCCAGGUCCAUAUCGUUCACCUGAAACUUCACUAUGAAAUGGACUCAGGGGGCAAAUAUACAGUAUUUUAAGCCAUGGUCUCUUCCCUAAGCAAAGGUGGCUAGUCAGAUGGAGACUUUGGGAGGAGCUAGGUUUGCUUUUGCAGCCAUAUUCUCUUCUUUUUCUGGAAAUCCAGCUGCCCUUGGGGUACACAUGCUGGUCUCUGAACAAUCAUACUCUUCUGACUUUAUAGUGACUGUGAAGACAGGCAGGCAAUACAGAUGGAUGUAUUCUUCUCCAGGCAUGGAAAACUGUUCAGGUUGUGAUUAACAGAUUCAGCACUGGCAACUUGCACUGGACAGCUCAGAUUCCCAGGCUCUUAGUUAGGUCUGCAGCGAAUACUUAGAGGGAUGUGGAUUCAUUUUCAGACUAAGCACUCAGCGUUGCCCCCAGCUCACAGCUCCGGAGAUGAAAGGUAUCAUUUAGAAAGGGUUCCUUUAGCCUUUGAAGGCUCAAAUGCCUCUGCUCAGCCCUUCCCCCCAAUUUGCUCUGACAUCUGUUUGAGACUAAAAGAUUAUUCAGCUUACAAUGAGAACUUGUAAGUACUAGGACUGUUUUUCUGGAUGAUAUACUUCGUUGCCUUUUAAAAUAAAAGAUGAUGAUUUUCUUAUAAGAGAAAGGAAUUCCUUUGACUUCAGACCUUUGCUUUUUGGAAAAUACCACUAUUUGUCAAUUUGUGGUUUUCGAUAAGCUUCUUGCUUUACAAGAUCUUAGAAAAGUUUUGAACUAUGGUCGAGCAUGCAAUGCACAAUUUUAUCAAAAAACCAGGCAAUAUUAUAUAUUUGGAGCUGGGACAGAGCUUGACUAUUUGACUUGUAACUUUCUUCACUGCCUGGUGUUUAGUUAAGAACAUGAAAUACAGAAAUUGCUUUAUAUUCUUUCAGAGCACACCCAAACUCAUGACCCAAAGCUUUCUGUAGCUUUUUCAUUUUUAAACAGCCCCUUGGUAGGAGAAGUUAACACUGCACCAAACACUUUACCCUACGUGAGAUGAUUGUUUCAUAAUAAAAGGCAUAAUUUGUAUAAAUAU
This is a non-coding RNA of Arvicanthis niloticus (Nile rat), 1332 nucleotides long. Lineage: Eukaryota; Metazoa; Chordata; Mammalia; Rodentia; Muridae. The record is from RefSeq and is a predicted model, not a curated record.